RNAcentral lists this ribosomal RNA (484 nucleotides) under uncultured bacterium. RNAcentral describes it as "partial 16S ribosomal RNA". It matches the Rfam family "Bacterial small subunit ribosomal RNA", at positions 30 to 507 of the family's 1533-position model. The record is from RNAcentral.
AUUGAACGCUGGCGGCAGGCCUAACACAUGCAAGUCGAGCGGAUGAAGGGAGCUUGCUCCUGGAUUCAGCGGCGGACGGGUGAGUAAUGCCUAGGAAUCUGCCUGGUAGUGGGGGAUAACGUCCGGAAACGGGCGCUAAUACCGCAUACGUCCUGGGGGAGAAAAUGGGGGAUCUUCGGACCUCACGCUAUCAGAUGAGCCUAGGUCGGAUUAGCUAGUUGGUGGGGUAAAGGCCUACCAAGGCGACGAUCCGUAACUGGUCUGAGAGGAUGAUCAGUCACACUGGAACUGAGACACGGUCCAGACUCCUACGGGAGGCAGCAGUGGGGAAUAUUGGACAAUGGGCGAAAGCCUGAUCCAGCCAUGCCGCGUGUGUGAAGAAGGUCUUCGGAUUGUAAAGCACUUUAAGUUGGGAGGAAGGGCAGUAAGUUAAUACCUUGCUGUUUUGACGUUACCAACAGAAUAAGCACCGGCUAACUUCGUG